RNAcentral lists this long non-coding RNA (588 nucleotides) under Vulpes vulpes (red fox). Its description in RNAcentral is "lncRNA (ENSVVUG00000028473.1)". The record is from RNAcentral. Lineage: Eukaryota; Metazoa; Chordata; Mammalia; Carnivora; Canidae.
AAAAUUGCUGGUGAAACAUGCAGGGGCAUAAAUUUGCCCCUGAAACAAAACACAUGGAUACAGAGUUCCUGGAUAAAGGGAACAGAUUUAAAGGUUAUAUUGUAACUAAGUAGGGAAUUACACUCUGUCAACACUUUCAGUCCCUGUAUGCCUCAGUUUAUUUUCCAUUCUUUUCUAGGCACCUAUGAGUUUUGGCAGACCUCAAUCUGAAUUAUCUGUAAACUGGUUUAUAUUUAUCAGAUAUCCUGCAUUUUCAACAACCUCCCAGACCUUAAACUCCUUUUUGGAAGUUACCUUCAGUGGCUUUGCAUUAUGUCUGACCCAUGGUUGAUAUUGAUUGAGUGGAUGAGAGACUGCCAAGGACGCUUUCUGAAAUCUGCUAAGCAAAGCUGGUUCAGACAGCCUUCUCUGAGUUUAUUUUACCAGCUUAGGUCCUGCUGAACUCUAAAGGAUUUCAGACACCAGAACAGCUGUGUUUAACCUCGUCUGUUAGUCCCCGCUCAAGAAACCCAUCUGAAUUGGCAGUGCUUCUCAUAACACAAGUGACACUAAAUUACAAAUGGAAAAAGUGUUUGGUUUAAAAUAAAC